AGGGGGGUUUGAUCCUGGGCUCAGAUUGAACGCUGGCGGCAUGCCUAACACAUGCAAGUCGAACGGAAACGAUUAAGAGCUUGCUCUUAAGGCGUCGAGUGGCGGACGGGUGAGUAAUACUUAGGAAUCUACCCAGUAGCGGGGGACAACUCGAGGAAACUCGAGCUAAUACCGCAUACGCCCUACGGGGGAAAGCAGGGGAUCUUCGGACCUUGCACUAUUGGAUGAGCCUAAGUCGGAUUAGCUUGUUGGUGAGGUAAAGGCUCACCAAGGCGACGAUCCGUAGCUGGUCUGAGAGGACGAUCAGCCACACUGGGACUGAGACACGGCCCAGACUCCUACGGGAGGCAGCAGUGGGGAAUAUUGGACAAUGGGGGCAACCCUGAUCCAGCAAUGCCGCGUGUGUGAAGAAGGCCUGCGGGUUGUAAAGCACUUUCAGUAGAGAAGAAAAGCCUACGGUUAAUACCCGUGAGUCUUGACGUUACCUACAGAAGAAGCUCCGGCUAACUCCGUGCCAGCAGCCGCGGUAAUACGGAGGGAGCGAGCGUUAAUCGGAAUUACUGGGCGUAAAGCGCGCGUAGGCGGCUUUGUAAGUCGGAUGUGAAGCCCUGGGCUCAACCUGGG
RNAcentral lists this ribosomal RNA (624 nucleotides) under uncultured bacterium. RNAcentral's name for it is "bacterial SSU rRNA". It matches the Rfam family "Bacterial small subunit ribosomal RNA", at positions 1 to 618 of the family's 1533-position model. The record is from RNAcentral.